This 427-nucleotide ribosomal RNA is filed under the name uncultured bacterium. Its description in RNAcentral is "partial 16S ribosomal RNA". It matches the Rfam family "Bacterial small subunit ribosomal RNA", at positions 355 to 774 of the family's 1533-position model. The record is from RNAcentral.
UGGGGAAUUUUGGACAAUGGGCGCAAGCCUGAUCCAGCCAUGCCGCGUGUCUGAAGAAGGCCUUCGGGUUGUAAAGGACUUUUGUCAGGGAAGAAAAGGGCGGGGUUAAUACCCCUGUCUGAUGACGGUACCUGAAGAAUAAGCACCGGCUAACUACGUGCCAGCAGCCGCGGUAAUACGUAGGGUGCGAGCGUUAAUCGGAAUUACUGGGCGUAAAGCGGGCGCAGACGGUUACUUAAGCAGGAUGUGAAAUCCCCGGGCUCAACCGGGGAACUGCGUUCUGAACUGGGUGACUAGAGUGUGUCAGAGGGAGGUAGAAUUCCACGUGUAGCAGUGAAAUGCGUAGAGAUGUGGAGGAAUACCGAUGGCGAAGGCAGCCUCCUGGGAUAACACUGACGUUCAUGCCCGAAAGCGUGGGUAGCAAACA